RNAcentral lists this ribosomal RNA (494 nucleotides) under uncultured bacterium. RNAcentral describes it as "partial 16S ribosomal RNA". It matches the Rfam family "Bacterial small subunit ribosomal RNA", at positions 28 to 506 of the family's 1533-position model. The record is from RNAcentral.
GAUGAACGCUGGCGGCGUGCCUAAUACAUGCAAGUAGAACGCUGAAGGAGGAGCUUGCUCUUCUGGAUGAGUUGCGAACGGGUGAGUAACGCGUAGGUAACCUGCCUGGUAGCGGGGGAUAACUAUUGGAAACGAUAGCUAAUACCGCAUGACAACAGUUAUUGCAUGAUAACUGUUUAAAAGGGGCAACUGCUCCACUACCAGAUGGACCUGCGUUGUAUUAGCUAGUUGGUGAGGUAACGGCUCACCAAGGCGACGAUACAUAGCCGACCUGAGAGGGUGAUCGGCCACAUGGGGACUGAGACACGGCCCAGACUCCUAAGGGAGGCAGCAGUAGGGAAUCUUCGGCAAUGGACGGAAGUCUGACCGAGCAACGCCGGGGGAGGGAAGAAGGUUUUCGGAUCGUAAAGCUCUUUUGUAAGGGAAGAACGAGUGUGGGGGGGGAAAGUUCCAACUGGGACGGUAUUUUACCAGAAAGGGACGGCUAACUACGG